CAGGAAAAUGCAUCAGCUUCGCUGGACCCUUCCCUGGUGGAGACAGUGGAGCCUGGGUCACCCCUCCCUCCCGGCGGAGGGAGACACAGAGAAGAUGAUAGGCCUGAUAGGUCUGUCCCUGUUCAGGUGGAGGCUCCCAGGAAAAGGCCCCAGAUACAGAAGGGCGAAGGUCUGGCGCAUCCUUCUGACCCUGCCAAGAAGACGAGGUAGAUGAGCAGCCAUGGAGGACAUGCCGGGAAGCAGUGAGACUCAAAAACUACGGCAGUCUGAUUGCAGGUGGGAGACCUGGUUGGAGACGGGGAAGAGGCCUGAGAGGCUGAACCCGAAGGACCAGGAUGAGAACCCAGACCAGCCCUCCUUUACCUGCGCCCCCUUCCCCCUACCAAGAUGUAACAUACCCAUUUCACAGAGGAAGACACUGAGACAGUCCCUUGUCUGUAUUGAGCUGGGAAGUGGUGCUGAUGGAAAAGUGAU
Ochotona princeps (American pika) is the source of this 474-nucleotide long non-coding RNA. RefSeq lists it as uncharacterized. The record is from RefSeq and is a predicted model, not a curated record. The transcript is spliced from 3 exons. Lineage: Eukaryota; Metazoa; Chordata; Mammalia; Lagomorpha; Ochotonidae.